This 410-nucleotide ribosomal RNA is filed under the name Yersinia mollaretii. RNAcentral's name for it is "bacterial SSU rRNA". It matches the Rfam family "Bacterial small subunit ribosomal RNA", at positions 58 to 464 of the family's 1533-position model. Lineage: Bacteria; Pseudomonadati; Pseudomonadota; Gammaproteobacteria; Enterobacterales; Yersiniaceae. The record is from RNAcentral.
CAAGUCGAGCGGCAGCGGAAAGUAGCUUGCUACUUUGCCGGCGAGCGGCGGACGGGUGAGUAAUGUCUGGGAAACUGCCUGAUGGAGGGGGAUAACUACUGGAAACGGUAGCUAAUACCGCAUGACCUCGCAAGAGCAAAGUGGGGGACCUUCGGGCCUCACGCCAUCGGAUGUGCCCAGAUGGGAUUAGCUAGUAGGUGGGGUAAUGGCUCACCUAGGCGACGAUCCCUAGCUGGUCUGAGAGGAUGACCAGCCACACUGGAACUGAGACACGGUCCAGACUCCUACGGGAGGCAGCAGUGGGGAAUAUUGCACAAUGGGCGCAAGCCUGAUGCAGCCAUGCCGCGUGUGUGAAGAAGGCCUUCGGGUUGUAAAGCACUUUCAGCGAGGAGGAAGGCAGUCGUGUUAAU